GCGGGAGAUGGGGCGGAUGGGGCGGGCGACGUCGGGACGGUUCGGGUGGCACCUGAGCAACGUGCAGACGUGGGUGAGCGGCGCCCUCACCGACCAGACCACCUGCCUCGACUCCCUCGCCCAGAACGCUCCCCCCUCCCCCCGCUCCUCCGCCAUCCGCUCCCGCGUCCUCGCCGCCUCCCAGCUCACCAGCAACGCCCUCGCCCUCAUCAACCGCCUCGCCCCCACCUGACCACACAUCAAAAACCACCGUACACAGGCCCGAAUAGUCUUGCGAAACUCGUUAAGGUCACAACCAAGCAUGUGCCACAUAGAACGGAGCCUGCAGCCUUAUUACAGAA
Molecule: long non-coding RNA, 341 nt
Filed under: Ananas comosus (pineapple)
Lineage: Eukaryota; Viridiplantae; Streptophyta; Magnoliopsida; Poales; Bromeliaceae
Description: long non-coding RNA (ACOM_LNC004678)
Source: RNAcentral